GGAGGAGUGGCCGAGUGGUUGAAGGCGGCGGUCUUGAAAACCGUUGAUGUGAGAGCAUCCGUGGGUUCGAAUCCUACCUCCUCCGCCA
Molecule: transfer RNA, 88 nt
Filed under: Desulfuromonas sp.
Lineage: Bacteria; Pseudomonadati; Thermodesulfobacteriota; Desulfuromonadia; Desulfuromonadales; Desulfuromonadaceae
Description: tRNA-Ser
Rfam family: tRNA
About the family: Transfer RNA (tRNA) molecules are approximately 80 nucleotides in length. Their secondary structure includes four short double-helical elements and three loops (D, anti-codon, and T loops).
Source: RNAcentral